This 136-nucleotide non-coding RNA is filed under the name Synechococcus sp. RNAcentral's name for it is "Glutamine-I sequence". It matches the Rfam family "Glutamine riboswitch aptamer (glnA leader)". Lineage: Bacteria; Bacillati; Cyanobacteriota; Cyanophyceae; Synechococcales; Synechococcaceae. The record is from RNAcentral. RNAcentral also lists the same sequence under 1 other name.
AUCGUUCAUCUCUUCCCAAGCUCUCCCGCUGUAAGUGCUUCAUUCACAAUCCAAACGGGUUAACGGGUGACAUUUAAGAAGCGGUCGAUAUUUGACGGUAGAGACGGAAGUAGGGAAUCCCCCGAAGGAACGCGCU